GGGAAUAAAAGCUGGCCACCCCAACCAGCAGCAGCCCCUGGCUUGGGUCCUCGUCUAAGCUGUGGACGCUUUGUUCUUUCGCUCUUCACAAUAAAUCUUGCUCACUCUUUGGGUCCGUGCCGCCUUUAAGAGCUGUAACACUCACCGCGGAGGUCCGCGGCCCCGUUCUUGAAGUCAGCGAGACCACGAACCCACCAGAAGGAACCAACUCCAGACACAAUCCCAGCACUUUGGGAAGUCAGGGCAGGCGGAUCAGGAGGUCAGAAGAUCGAGACCAUCCUGGCCAACAUGGUGAAACCCCAUCUCUACUGAAAAUAUAAAAAUUAGCUGGAUGUGGUGGCGCAUGCCUGUAAUCCCAGCUACUGGGGAGGCUGAGGCAGGAGAAUCCCUUAAACCGGGGAGUUGGAUGUUGCAGUGAGCUGAGAUUGCGCCACAGCUCUCUAGCCUGGCGACAGAGUGAGCCUCCAUCUCAAAACAACAACAACAACAAAAACCAAAAGAAAUGAGGUUUAAUUGACUCACAGUUCCACAGGUUGUACAAGAGGUGUGACUGGGGAGGCCUCAGGAAGCUUACAAUCAUGGUGGAAGGAUGAAGGGGAAGCAAGCACGUCUUCACAUGGCAGUAGGCGGGAGAGUGAGUGAAGGGAGAAGUGCUACACACUUUCAAACAACCAGAUCUCAUGAAAACUCACUAUCACAAGAACAGCAAAAGGGAAAUCCACCCAUGAUCUAAUCAUCUCCCACCAGCUCCCUCUCGCAACAUUGGGAAUUACAGUUCAACAUGCGAUUUGGUGGGGACACAGAGCCAAACCAUAUCACACCCCAUUCAAAGCUAUGAGAUUAUAAAAUGGUCCUUCUCCUGUCACUCAGCUGACUGUAAAUUCAUGCUGGCACAUCCACACCACGGCAGACAGACACUGCUUGGGAGUUCUGUUCUGUCAUCAACGGAGCUGUGAUGACCGUGGAUGUCACUGGUAGUGGCCAACAUUUCUGCAGCUCCUUCUCAGUUACAUCCUCAACACAA
Molecule: long non-coding RNA, 1024 nt
Filed under: Homo sapiens (human)
Lineage: Eukaryota; Metazoa; Chordata; Mammalia; Primates; Hominidae
Description: non-protein coding lnc-FAM174B-2:10
Source: RNAcentral